This 1204-nucleotide long non-coding RNA is filed under the name Homo sapiens (human). Its description in RNAcentral is "HSALNT0046365". Lineage: Eukaryota; Metazoa; Chordata; Mammalia; Primates; Hominidae. The record is from RNAcentral.
GUUUUCCCAGGGCAUGGAAAGGACAGGGCUCCCAGUGGAGAUAUCAUGUAGCUAUAGGGCCUAGAAGUAUUUUUUCAGUAGAUGAAAUUUAGAAAUAAUUUGAAUAUUUUAUGCUGGGGAGGUAGCUUGUGGAGUGAAAUGGUCGGGUAAAGGAAACACUGAGUUCAAGUGCUUCUUUAUAAAGGACACUUAACUGAUCUAAAUAUUUGUCAAGCUGAAUCGCUACAUCCACUCUCACCUGCCUGAAAUCAAUAUGCUCAAGUCAAACGCAUUUGCCUGCAUCUGAAUGUGGAGAAUGAACUUCUUAAAGCUGAACUGGCAGCUGGAAGGGGAGAGAGAAGAGCUGGACAGGGAGCCAGGACACCGGAGUUCUUUUCCACUGUGGUGGGAUCUGGAAGAAGCUGUUGAAUCUCUGUAGAGUUAGCUUUUAAAUGCUGUGAGUCUUUGGAAAGCUGUGCGAAUAACUGCUAAACACCCAGGACAGCUUAUGCAUUUUUUGAAAAAGGCUUGAAUUCUCAGGCAGUGAAUGCACUACCGUGUGCAGAAGGCAAGGACAUGGCUGAGCAUGUUGUUUUCUUCACCUUAUAUGGAGCUUCCUUAACAGGUUCCUGGUGCUGGUUCCAGCAGAAUAGACACAGAGAUGCAUGGCCUAACUCCCACUCCCUCUUCAGGACUGAGCCACGCAGCCCCCCAUCUGCCAGAAGUGUUAGCUGUUGACGGCUCACAGCUGAGUCCCUCUCCAGGCAUUGCUGAAAAGAGCCACCUUGCUCUAGGAUGUGCCCCCACCCUGGGGGCAGCAUACAUUCCAAGUGAUUAGUCCAUAGUGUGGUACAAAGGUUGUACCCAUCUUGCCUGAAUUCAGGAUCUCUUGGAAAACCACCCCAGCUCUGCAGCUCCUGGUGGGGUGCUGAGGCCUCUGCUGCAGCUGCAUCGCAGUUUACUUUCCCCUCUGCCUAGUCCUGCUGCCUUCACUCCCCAACAGGUAUUGUUCCCCAGAGAACUCCCUGCCCCCAGUCACCUGUAAGCAAAUCUCCACUGCAGUCUGUGGCCUGGGAAACCUGCUCUAGGAUCCCAAAGUGAACACAGCUUCCCAUUGAAAUGUGUCUUUGGGUGUUAAUCUGUCCUGCCAUCUUUACAUCUAAUCAAGAGGUAGAGCUUCCCCUGGUGUUCCUGCUGGGUACAUAAAGGAUCUUUUCCAUUGUCU